GGGUGGUAAUGCCGGAUGCUCCAGUUCAUCGCAUGGUGGUCUGGGAAAGAUUUUAUCGGUAUGGGAUGGGGUCGCGUCCUAUCAGGUAGUCGGCGGGGUAAUGGCCCACCGAGCCUACGACGGGUAGCCGGCCUGAGAGGGCGACCGGCCACAUUGGGACUGAGAUACGGCCCAGACUCCUACGGGAGGCAGCAGUGGGGAAUAUUGCACAAUGGGCGCAAGCCUGAUGCAGCGACGCCGCGUGCGGGAUGACGGCCUUCGGGUUGUAAACCGCUUUUGUUGGGGAGCAAGCCUUCGGGUGAGUGUACCCUUCGAAUAAGCACCGGCUAACUACGUGCCAGCAGCCGCGGUAAU
This 354-nucleotide ribosomal RNA is filed under the name Bifidobacterium angulatum. RNAcentral describes it as "bacterial SSU rRNA". It matches the Rfam family "Bacterial small subunit ribosomal RNA", at positions 158 to 524 of the family's 1533-position model. Lineage: Bacteria; Bacillati; Actinomycetota; Actinomycetes; Bifidobacteriales; Bifidobacteriaceae. The record is from RNAcentral.